GGGCCAUUAGCUCAGCUUGGUUAGAGUAUAACACGGCAAAUCGAAAGGUCGAGAGUUCAAAUCUCCCAUGGCCCACCA
RNAcentral lists this transfer RNA (78 nucleotides) under Nitrososphaerales archaeon. RNAcentral describes it as "tRNA-Cys". It matches the Rfam family "tRNA". From Rfam's summary of the family: Transfer RNA (tRNA) molecules are approximately 80 nucleotides in length. Their secondary structure includes four short double-helical elements and three loops (D, anti-codon, and T loops). Further hydrogen bonds mediate the characteristic L-shaped molecular structure. tRNAs have two regions of fundamental functional importance: the anti-codon, which is responsible for specific mRNA codon recognition, and the 3' end, to which the tRNAs corresponding amino acid is attached (by aminoacyl-tRNA synthetases). tRNAs cope with the degeneracy of the genetic code in two manners: having more than one tRNA (with a specific anti-codon) for a particular amino acid; and 'wobble' base-pairing, i.e. permitting non-standard base-pairing at the 3rd anti-codon position. The record is from RNAcentral. Lineage: Archaea; Thermoproteati; Nitrososphaerota; Nitrososphaeria; Nitrososphaerales.